AAACCAUGAUGAGGACACUCUAAGAGAAGAUCCUUAAAACGUUCCAUACACCUAGAAAAUGAUUCAUUAGGUCUUUGGCGAAAUUGAAAAAUGUCGUUCCUAAUCUU
Small nucleolar RNA from Cephalotus follicularis, 107 nucleotides. It matches the Rfam family "Plant small nucleolar RNA R71". Rfam says of the family: R71 is a member of the C/D box family of snoRNAs containing the C (UGAUGA) and D (CUGA) box motifs. Multiple nearly identical copies of this snoRNA have been identified in Arabidopsis, and it is thought to function as a 2'-O-ribose methylation guide for 18S ribosomal RNA. Lineage: Eukaryota; Viridiplantae; Streptophyta; Magnoliopsida; Oxalidales; Cephalotaceae. The record is from Rfam.